GACGAACGCUGGCGGCGUGCUUAACACAUGCAAGUCGAGCGGUAAGGCCCUUUCGGGGGUACACGAGCGGCGAACGGGUGAGUAACACGUGGGUGACCUGCCCUUAGCUCUGGGAUAAGCCUGGGAAACUGGGUCUAAUACCGGAUAUGACUCCAUGACGCAUGUUGUGGGGUGGAAAGCCUUGUGCGGCUAGGGAUGGGCCCGCGGCCUAUCAGCUUGUUGGUGGGGUGAUGGCCACCAAGGCGACGACGGGUAGCCGGCCUGAGAGGGCGACCGGCCACACUGGGACUGAGAUACGGCCCAGACUCCUACGGGAGGCAGCAGUGGGGAAUCUUGCGCAAUGGGCGAAAGCCUGACGCAGCGACGCCGCGUGA
RNAcentral lists this ribosomal RNA (374 nucleotides) under uncultured bacterium. Its description in RNAcentral is "bacterial SSU rRNA". It matches the Rfam family "Bacterial small subunit ribosomal RNA", at positions 28 to 404 of the family's 1533-position model. The record is from RNAcentral.